This 61-nucleotide transfer RNA is filed under the name Balaenoptera borealis (sei whale). Its description in RNAcentral is "tRNA-Ser". The record is from RNAcentral. Lineage: Eukaryota; Metazoa; Chordata; Mammalia; Artiodactyla; Balaenopteridae.
GAAAAAGUAUAGCAAGAACUGCUAACUCAUGCUUCCACACCUAACAGCUGUGGCUUUUUCA